RNAcentral lists this ribosomal RNA (253 nucleotides) under uncultured bacterium. RNAcentral describes it as "partial 16S ribosomal RNA". It matches the Rfam family "Bacterial small subunit ribosomal RNA", at positions 524 to 776 of the family's 1533-position model. The record is from RNAcentral.
UACGUAGGUGGCAAGCGUUGUCCGGAUUUAUUGGGUUUAAAGGGUGCGUAGGCGGCUUUGUAAGUCAGUAGUGAAAUACCCCAGCUCGACUGGGGGGGUGCUAUUGAUACUGCAUGGCUUGAGUACAGAUGAGGUAGGCGGAAUUGACGGUGUAGCGGUGAAAUGCAUAGAUAUGACAUAGAACACCAAUUGCGAAGGCAGCUUACUACACAGUUAUUGACACUGAGGCACGAAAGCGUGGGGAUCAAACAGG